CGGCGGACGGGUGAGUAAUGUCUGGGAAACUGCCUGAUGGAGGGGGAUAACUACUGGAAACGGUAGCUAAUACCGCAUAACGUCUUCGGACCAAAUGGGGGACCUUCGGGCCUCACGCCAUCGGAUGUGCCCAGAUGGGAUUAGCUAGUAGGUGGGGUAAUGGCUCACCUAGGCGACGAUCCCUAGCUGGUCUGAGAGGACGACCAGCCACACUGGGACUGAGACACGGCCCAG
This 234-nucleotide ribosomal RNA is filed under the name uncultured bacterium. RNAcentral describes it as "partial 16S ribosomal RNA". It matches the Rfam family "Bacterial small subunit ribosomal RNA", at positions 96 to 334 of the family's 1533-position model. The record is from RNAcentral.